RNAcentral lists this ribosomal RNA (341 nucleotides) under uncultured Pseudomonadota bacterium. RNAcentral describes it as "bacterial SSU rRNA". It matches the Rfam family "Bacterial small subunit ribosomal RNA", at positions 29 to 351 of the family's 1533-position model. Lineage: Bacteria; Pseudomonadati; Pseudomonadota. The record is from RNAcentral.
AACGAACGCUAGCGGCGUGCCUAACACAUGCAAGUCGGACGAGAAAGUCCCCUUCGGGGGAUGAGUAAAGUGGCGCACGGGUGCGUAACACGUGGGUAAUCUGCCCUUGGGUCUGGGAUAACACUUCGAAAGAGGUACUAAUACCAGAUAAGACCACGUCUCCUUUGGGGGACGAGGUAAAAGGUGGCCUCUCUAUAGACGCUAUCGCCCCUGGAUGAGCCCGCGGCCCAUCAGCUAGUUGGUGAGGUAACGGCCCACCAAGGCUAAGACGGGUAGCUGGUCUGAGAGGAUGUCCAGCCACACUGGAACUGAGACACGGUCCAGACUCCUACGGGAGGCAG